GUCUACGGCCAUACUACCCUGAACGCGCCCGAUCUCGGAAGCUAAGCAGGGUCGGGCCUGGUUAGUACUUGGAUGGGGAGACAUUAUGGAGAGUAAUCU
RNAcentral lists this ribosomal RNA (99 nucleotides) under Neogale vison (American mink). Lineage: Eukaryota; Metazoa; Chordata; Mammalia; Carnivora; Mustelidae. The record is from RNAcentral.